CAAGUCGAACGAUGAACCUCCUUCGGGAGGGGAUUAGUGGCGAACGGGUGAGUAACACGUGGGCAAUCUGCCCUGCACUCUGGGACAAGCCCUGGAAACGGGGUCUAAUACCGGAUACUGAUCAUCUUGGGCAUCCUUGGUGAUCGAAAGCUCCGGCGGUGCAGGAUGAGCCCGCGGCCUAUCAGCUUGUUGGUGAGGUAAUGGCUCACCAAGGCGACGACGGGUAGCCGGCCUGAGAGGGCGACCGGCCACACUGGGACUGAGACACGGCCCAGACUCCUACGGGAGGCAGCAGUGGGGAAUAUUGCACAAUGGGCGAAAGCCUGAUGCAGCGACGCCGCGUGAGGGAUGACGGCCUUCGGGUUGUAAACCUCUUUCAGCAGGGAAGAAGCGAAAGUGACGGUACCUGCAGAAGAAGCGCCGGCUAACUACGUGCCAGCAGCCGCGGUAAUACGUAGGGCGCGAGCGUUGUCCGGAAUUAUUGGGCGUAAAGAGCUCGUAGGCGGCUUGUCGCGUCGGUUGUGAAAGCCCGGGGCUUAACCCCGGGUCUGCAGUCGAUACGGGCAGGCUAGAGUUCGGUAGGGGAGAUCGGAAUUCCUGGUGUAGCGGUGAAAUGCGCAGAUAUCAGGAGGAACACCGGUGGCGAAGGCGGAUCUCUGGGCCGAUACUGACGCUGAGGAGCGAAAGCGUGGGGAGCGAA
This 700-nucleotide ribosomal RNA is filed under the name Streptomyces sp. DRL313. Its description in RNAcentral is "bacterial SSU rRNA". It matches the Rfam family "Bacterial small subunit ribosomal RNA", at positions 58 to 772 of the family's 1533-position model. Lineage: Bacteria; Bacillati; Actinomycetota; Actinomycetes; Kitasatosporales; Streptomycetaceae. The record is from RNAcentral.